RNAcentral lists this ribosomal RNA (59 nucleotides) under uncultured bacterium. Its description in RNAcentral is "partial 16S ribosomal RNA". The record is from RNAcentral.
CCGCGUGGAGGAUGAAGCCCUUGGGCGUAACUCCUUUCGACCAAGACGAUGAUGACGGU